This 404-nucleotide ribosomal RNA is filed under the name Chroodiscus argillaceus. Its description in RNAcentral is "SSU rRNA". It matches the Rfam family "Bacterial small subunit ribosomal RNA", at positions 362 to 760 of the family's 1533-position model. Lineage: Eukaryota; Fungi; Ascomycota; Lecanoromycetes; Ostropales; Graphidaceae. The record is from RNAcentral.
UAUUGGUCAAUGGCCUAACGGCUGAACCGGCAAUUUGGAGGAAUGUAUAGGGAAAACUGGUAAAAUGUGAUGUACCUAGUAGUAUUAGUGAUAAAUAUGAGAUUAACUAAGUUAAUUAAAAUUCUAGGUGAGUAUUUGAUAAUGACAACGCUUAUUUAUUUCUUGACCAAGUCACGUGCCAGCAGUCGCGGUAAUACGUGGAAGAUUAGCGUUGUUCAUGUUUAACAGGUUUAAAGGGUACCCAGACGGUUGAUUUAUCUUUAAUUAGAAUUAAAUUAACUAGAGUUUAAUGUAAGAUUGAUUGAGUACGGUGAGUGUAGAGAUGAAAUUCAGUCAUACCCCUUAGGUACUGGCGAAGGCAAAAGCAACUUUUUAUGUAUAAACUGACGUUGAAGGACGAAGGA